AUGGCUGGUGUUCUAACGUAGACCCGUAAUCCGGGUUGCGGACAGUGUCUGGUGGGUAGUUUGACUGGGGCGGUCUCCUCCCAAAGAGUAACGGAGGAGCACGAAGGUUAGCUAAUCCUGGUCGGACAUCAGGAGGUUAGUGCAAUGGCAUAAGCUAGCUUGACUGCGAGAGUGACGGCUCGAGCAGGUGCGAAAGCAGGUCAUAGUGAUCCGGUGGUUCUGAAUGGAAGGGCCAUCGCUCAACGGAUAAAAGGUACUCCGGGGAUAACAGGCUGAUACCGCCCAAGAGUUCAUAUCGACGGCGGUGUUUGGCACCUCGAUGUCGGCUCAUCACAUCCUGGGGCUGAAGUAGGUCCCAAGGGUAUGGCUGUUCGCCAUUUAAAGUGGUACGCGAGCUGGGUUUAGAACGUCGUGAGACAGUUCGGUCCCUAUCUGCCGUGGGCGCUGGAGAAUUGAGGGGGGCUGCUCCUAGUACGAGAGGACCGGAGUGGACGCAUCACUGGUGUU
This 507-nucleotide ribosomal RNA is filed under the name Enterobacter asburiae. Its description in RNAcentral is "partial 23S ribosomal RNA". It matches the Rfam family "Bacterial large subunit ribosomal RNA", at positions 2210 to 2716 of the family's 2925-position model. The record is from RNAcentral. Lineage: Bacteria; Pseudomonadati; Pseudomonadota; Gammaproteobacteria; Enterobacterales; Enterobacteriaceae.